RNAcentral lists this ribosomal RNA (253 nucleotides) under uncultured bacterium. RNAcentral's name for it is "partial 16S ribosomal RNA". It matches the Rfam family "Bacterial small subunit ribosomal RNA", at positions 524 to 776 of the family's 1533-position model. The record is from RNAcentral.
UACAGAGGAGCCAAGCGUUGUCCGGAUUGACUGGGCGUAAAGCGCACGCAGGCGGAUGCGCGCGUGGGGUGUGAAAUCUGGCCGCUUAACGGCCAGGCGCCAUCCCAUACGGCGCGUCUGGAGUGAUGCAGAGGUCGAUGGAAUUGCCGGUGUAGUGGUGAAAUGCGCAGAUAUCAGGAGGAACACCGGUGGCGAAGGCGGGUCUCUGGGCCGUAACUGACGCUGAGGAGCGAAAGCAUGGGGAGCGAACAGG